GACUCGGUGGCGGAUGGUUCGCGUCUGCACUUAACUUGGAAUUUGAAGGCCGUUCGGCAGAAAUCGCCUGUUCGACUCAGGCCCGAGUCU
Non-coding RNA from Mycena epipterygia, 90 nucleotides. The record is from the annotation of a GenBank genome assembly. Lineage: Eukaryota; Fungi; Basidiomycota; Agaricomycetes; Agaricales; Mycenaceae.